RNAcentral lists this ribosomal RNA (775 nucleotides) under uncultured Neocallimastigales. RNAcentral describes it as "partial large subunit ribosomal RNA". It matches the Rfam family "Eukaryotic large subunit ribosomal RNA", at positions 24 to 645 of the family's 3401-position model. The record is from RNAcentral. Lineage: Eukaryota; Fungi; Neocallimastigomycota; Neocallimastigomycetes; Neocallimastigales.
UUAUGUGAUCGUCUCUCGCAUAUCAAUAAGCGGAGGAAAAGAAACUAACAAGGAUUCCCCUAGUAACGGCGAGUGAAGCGGGAAGAGCUCAAAUUUGAAAUCUUAAAGGGUUUCCCUUUACGAAUUGUAGUUUAAAGAAGUGUUUUCUGUUGAGGCUUUGGUAAAAGUUCUUUGGAAUAGGACAUCAUAGAGGGUGAGAAUCCCGUAUUUGACCUUUACUUUCAACUUUGUGAUACACUUUCAAAGAGUCGGAUUGUUUGGGAAUGCAGUCCAAAAUGGGUGGUAAAUUUCAUCUAAAGCUAAAUAUUGGCGAGAGACCGAUAGCGAACAAGUACCGUGAGGGAAAGAUGAAAAGAACUUUGAAAAGAGAGUUAAACAGUACGUGAAAUUGUCAAAAGGGAAGCGUUUGACACCAGUGUUGUUUUUCUGAAAAUCAAUUAAAGAACUGUUUAUGCUAAGUUGUUUAGACUUUAUCAGCUAACUGUUUAGUUUUGAGCUUUUCUUUAAUGCACUUUUCAGUUAACAAGUCAACAUCAAUUUCUUUUGCUGUAAGAAAGCUUGAGGAAGGUGGCUUGAGAUUCGUCUUAAGUGUUUAUAGCCUCUUGCCUAUGCAGUCGGAGAGAUUGAGGUCUGCAGCGUAGAUCCUUCGGGGCUAAAUGCAUUUGUGCUAAGUUAUAGCAUUUUAUAGACAACUUGUUGACUAUGAUUUGUCUUGUAGCUUACUCGCUUAUGUUAUUUUACCUACGCUUAGGAUGUUGAAGUCAUCGUAUCGCGC